GAAGGUGUGCUGUGAGGCAUGCUGGAGGUAUCAGAAGUGCGAAUGCUGACAUAAGUAACGAUAAAGCGGGUGAAAAGCCCGCUCGCCGGAAGACCAAGGGUUCCUGUCCAACGUUAAUCGGGGCAGGGUGAGUCGACCCCUAAGGCGAGGCCGAAAGGCGUAGUCGAUGGGAAACAGGUUAAUAUUCCUGUACUUGGUGUUACUGCGAAGGGGGGACGGAGAAGGCUAUGUUGGCCGGGCGACGGUUGUCCCGGUUUAAGCGUGUAGGCUGGUUUUCCAGGCAAAUCCGGAAAAUCAAGGCUGAGGCGUGAUGACGAGGCACUACGGUGCUGAAGCAACAAAUGCCCUGCUUCCAGGAAAAGCCUCUAAGCAUCAGGUAACAUCAAAUCGUACCCCAAACCGACACAGGUGGUCAGGUAGAGAAUACCAAGGCGCUUGAGAGAACUCGGGUGAAGGAACUAGGCAAAAUGGUGCCGUAACUUCGGGAGAAGGCACGCUGAUAUGUAGGUGAAGUCCCUCGCGGAUGGAGCUGAAAUCAGUCGAAGAUACCAGCUGGCUGCAACUGUUUAUUAAAAACACAGCACUGUGCAAACACGAAAGUGGACGUAUACGGUGUGACGCCUGCCCGGUGCCGGAAGGUUAAUUGAUGGGGUUAGCCGCAAGGCGAAGCUCUUGAUCGAAGCCCCGGUAAACGGCGGCCGUAACUAUAACGGUCCUAAGGUAGCGAAAUUCCUUGUCGGGUAAGUUCCGACCUGCACGAAUGGCGUAAUGAUGGCCAGGCUGUCUCCACCCGAGACUCAGUGAAAUUGAACUCGCUGUGAAGAUGCAGUGUACCCGCGGCAAGACGGAAAGACCCCGUGAACCUUUACUAUAGCUUGACACUGAACAUUGAGCCUUGAUGUGUAGGAUAGGUGGGAGGCUUUGAAGUGUGGACGCCAGUCUGCAUGGAGCCGACCUUGAAAUACCACCCUUUAAUGUUUGAUGUUCUAACGUUGACCCGUAAUCCGGGUUGCGGACAGUGUCUGGUGGGUAGUUUGACUGGGGCGGUCUCCUCCUAAAGAGUAACGGAGGAGCACGAAGGUUGGCUAAUCCUGGUCGGACAUCAGGAGGUUAGUGCAAUGGCAUAAGCCAGCUUGACUGCGAGCGUGACGGCGCGAGCAGGUGCGAAAGCAGGUCAUAGUGAUCCGGUGGUUCUGAAUGGAAGGGCCAUCGCUCAACGGAUAAAAGGUACUCCGGGGAUAACAGGCUGAUACCGCCCAAGAGUUCAUAUCGACGGCGGUGUUUGGCACCUCGAUGUCGGCUCAUCACAUCCUGGGGCUGAAGUAGGUCCCAAGGGUAUGGCUGUUCGCCAUUUAAAGUGGUACGCGAGCUGGGUUUAGAACGUCGUGAGACAGUUCGGUCCCUAUCUGCCGUGGGCGCUGGAGAACUGAGGGGGGCUGCUCCUAGUACGAGAGGACCGGAGUGGACGCAUCACUGGUGUUCGGGUUGUCAUGCCAAUGGCACUGCCCGGUAGCUAAAUGCGGAAGAGAUAAGUGCUGAAAGCAUCUAAGCACGAAACUUGCCCCGAGAUGAGUUCU
Molecule: ribosomal RNA, 1577 nt
Filed under: Escherichia coli
Lineage: Bacteria; Pseudomonadati; Pseudomonadota; Gammaproteobacteria; Enterobacterales; Enterobacteriaceae
Description: bacterial LSU rRNA
Rfam family: Bacterial large subunit ribosomal RNA
Source: RNAcentral